Small nuclear RNA from Cynocephalus volans (Philippine flying lemur), 105 nucleotides. The record is from RefSeq and is a predicted model, not a curated record. Lineage: Eukaryota; Metazoa; Chordata; Mammalia; Dermoptera; Cynocephalidae.
GCUCACUUCGGAAGAACUUACACUGAAUUUGGAACCAUACAGAGAAGAUGAGCAUGGCCCCUGCACAAGAAUGGCAUGCAAAUUUGUGAAUCAUUCCAUAUUUUU